RNAcentral lists this ribosomal RNA (406 nucleotides) under uncultured bacterium. RNAcentral describes it as "partial 16S ribosomal RNA". It matches the Rfam family "Bacterial small subunit ribosomal RNA", at positions 30 to 526 of the family's 1533-position model. The record is from RNAcentral.
AUUGAACGCUGGCGGCAGGCCUAACACAUGCAAGUCGAGCGAGCGGCGGACGGGUGAGUAAUGUUUGGGAAACUGCCUGACGGAGGGGGAUAACUACUGGAAACGACAGCUAAUACAGUAUUCCAUCAGAUGUGCCCAGAUGGGAUUAGCGAGUAGGUGGGGUAACGGCUCACCUAGGCGACGAGCCCUAGCUGUCAUGAGAGGAUGACCAGCCCCACGGGAACUGAUACACGGUCCAGCCUCCUACGGUAGGCAGCAGUGUGGAUUAUUGCACAAUGGGCGCAAGCCUGAUACAGCCAUGCCGCUUGUGUGAAUAAGGCGUUCGGGUUGUAAAGCACUUUCAGCGGAGCGGCGUUACCCGCAGAAGAAGCACCGGCUAACUCCGUGCCAGCCGCCGCGGUAAUAC